GGAGAAGACACGCAUGCCCGAAGAGCCCUGCAGGGGAGCGGCUCCCUGAGCCAGGGCGGAGUGCGCAAGCGCAGACGGGGCCCCUGCAGAGGGGCUGAUGAGGAGGGGGCGGAGGGCGCUGGGCGUGGCUGAGGCUCCCCAGAGAAAAGCCGGUCUUCGGGCCGGGGAGACAGAGUGGGUGCCGGCACCCGGUCAGCAGUUGUCAGGCGCCACACUGGAGAGCACGGCGUGCGGUUGGGCAGGCUGUGUGCUCGGCCUCCCGACCCCAGCGCCCCCCGUGGGAGCGGGUCCGCUCCGCCCGCACUGCGGCCCUGGUCCGCGGGGCAGCGCCCCCUGGUGGGGUCGAGGCGAAGUUCACCUCUCAAGGUGGAAUGUGUACAUGGAAUGUACGGAUGGUUCAACCAAUGAAGAUCAAUCAGUGCAAUACUUCAAGUUAACAAGAUGAAGGAUAAAAAUAUAUGAUUAUGAAAUGUCUGACAAACUUAGCAUUCUUUCUUGAUUAAAAACAGCAAAGUAGGGAUAGAAGAAAACUACAUCAACAUAAGGAGAAGCGCACAUGAAGUAUCCACAGCUAAGCCAAACUCGAUGGGGAAAGACUGAAAUUGGUUCGUCUAAGAUCGGAAAUAAAGCAAAGGUGCAUUCUCUCACCACUGCUGUUCAGUACGGUACUAGGACUACUAUCAUGAUCCUCCAGACGUGAGAAGGAAAUGAAGGUGUGCAAGCUCAGUAAUGUCCACUGAUUUAUAUAUUAAUUAUUUUUGUAUCACAUCUCCCUAUUUCACCUCCCAUUUCAGCCCUUGAAAACAAAAAUUCCAGUUUAUGCUUCUCUGAGCUCCACAUUUUGGAUUCCAUAUAUGAAAGAGACUGUGCACUGGGACAGCACAGUGGGUUGCUGAGUGACUACAGAAAAUACCUGGAGGUUCUUGGGCAGGAGGAGACUUAUGAAAGUAUUAACAGGAAAGCACAAGUCUAGUUAGAGCUUACCAGCAGAAAAGGAGUGUCCUGUGACAGUAGGCUGGACUAUAGCUAGGAAGUCUCAAGGCAGAGGGCUGAGCAGGAAAUCACCAGAAGCUCCAGUGGCAGUGAGCUGGACAAGGAAACUGCCAGUGGGAAUUUGAAGUGUGCAGCGGAGGCUGGAUGAGCCAGGGCACCCCACAGCACCCUACUCCACACCCCUGUUGCACAGGAGGGGGUGGUACAGAGAGAGCUACGCAGCAGUGACAUCAGUAGCUUUUUCUCUGUUUAAUUGUGUGACCAGC
This 1259-nucleotide long non-coding RNA is filed under the name Heterocephalus glaber (naked mole-rat). RNAcentral's name for it is "lncRNA (ENSHGLG00000034747.1)". Lineage: Eukaryota; Metazoa; Chordata; Mammalia; Rodentia; Bathyergidae. The record is from RNAcentral.